This 201-nucleotide long non-coding RNA is filed under the name Lathyrus oleraceus (garden pea). RNAcentral describes it as "Pisum sativum (pea) long non-coding RNA (PSAT_LNC011913)". Lineage: Eukaryota; Viridiplantae; Streptophyta; Magnoliopsida; Fabales; Fabaceae. The record is from RNAcentral.
UUCCACCUGGCAAAUCAUUUCUUCCCAAAUCUUUCACCCUUUCUCCCUGACGUAAACCUUUUCUCAGUGCUUGCCAGGGAGUUUUGAAAAAAAAAACCAAAAAAAGAAAAAGAAAAAGCUUGUUAACAAAAAUACAGAGAGCUUGUUGAAAAAAAGAAGAAGAAAGAGUCAAUCUCACUGCAUCAGCAUCAUGCAUACGUC